RNAcentral lists this transfer RNA (25 nucleotides) under Nannoperca australis (Tasmanian pigmy perch). RNAcentral describes it as "partial tRNA-Pro". Lineage: Eukaryota; Metazoa; Chordata; Actinopteri; Centrarchiformes; Percichthyidae. The record is from RNAcentral.
CAAAGAAUGGUUUAAUUUAGAAUUC